UACGAAGGGGGCUAGCGUUGUUCGGAAUUACUGGGCGUAAAGCGCGCGCAGGCGGUUCUUUAAGUCAGGGGUGAAAGCCCAGAGCUCAACUCUGGAAUUGCCUUUGAAACUAGAGAACUUGGGUACGGGAGAGGUGAGUGGAAUUCCGAGUGUAGAGGUGAAAUUCGUAGAUAUUCGGAAGAACACCAGUGGCGAAGGCGGCUGACUGGACAUGUAUUGACGCUGAGGUGCGAAAGCGUGGGGAGCAAACAGG
This 253-nucleotide ribosomal RNA is filed under the name uncultured bacterium. Its description in RNAcentral is "partial 16S ribosomal RNA". It matches the Rfam family "Bacterial small subunit ribosomal RNA", at positions 524 to 776 of the family's 1533-position model. The record is from RNAcentral.